This 72-nucleotide transfer RNA is filed under the name Abditibacteriaceae bacterium. RNAcentral describes it as "Abitibacteriaceae bacterium (rhizosphere metagenome) tRNA-Gly". It matches the Rfam family "tRNA". Rfam says of the family: Transfer RNA (tRNA) molecules are approximately 80 nucleotides in length. Their secondary structure includes four short double-helical elements and three loops (D, anti-codon, and T loops). Further hydrogen bonds mediate the characteristic L-shaped molecular structure. tRNAs have two regions of fundamental functional importance: the anti-codon, which is responsible for specific mRNA codon recognition, and the 3' end, to which the tRNAs corresponding amino acid is attached (by aminoacyl-tRNA synthetases). tRNAs cope with the degeneracy of the genetic code in two manners: having more than one tRNA (with a specific anti-codon) for a particular amino acid; and 'wobble' base-pairing, i.e. permitting non-standard base-pairing at the 3rd anti-codon position. Lineage: Bacteria; Pseudomonadati; Abditibacteriota; Abditibacteriia; Abditibacteriales; Abditibacteriaceae. The record is from RNAcentral.
GUCGCUGUAGUGUAGCGGUCAGCACACAACAGUGCCAAUGUUGGGGCGCGGGUUCAAUUCCCGCCAGCGACU